Molecule: long non-coding RNA, 6797 nt
Organism: Passer domesticus (house sparrow)
Lineage: Eukaryota; Metazoa; Chordata; Aves; Passeriformes; Passeridae
Exons: 4
Source: RefSeq, a predicted model, not a curated record
AAUUACACACGUUUCCGUGAUUAAAACACUCAGGCUGAAAUGCUGUUUCUAAAUUAUUCUGUUACACAACAGAAGCACUUUCCUGUUGCAUCAGACCAAGGUUCUCCCUCCCCAGAAAGAGGGAUCCGUGGGUCCUGCAGGGGUACGUGUCCCAGGAGCUGCCUAGUUCCUCCAGGGGCACAGGGAAUGCACAGGGCAUGGCUGGGGCAUUGCAGAGGCUAGCAAGCAAAAACACCAGCUCUGCUUUCCCAGGCACCACAGAGCAGAUAAACAAGGAUGGGUCUUCUCUUACACGCCAAGAAAAGAAACCAUAGUUCCUUAGUGUCUGUCCAAGGACUUGCAAGAGAAGUCCUGAAUUUGUCCUUCCAGUAUGGGCAAUGAAUAGUUGGAAACUGAGACUUUUGCCGUGUGUUGUUGAAAUUUUGAUGGAGAACUUUCCUCCAUCAAAUAAAGUUGAUGUGAUUUGAAUAUCAGAGCAGCAUUGAGGUCCUGAGCUUAUUUUCUCCUCUAAAUGAAUUUUUUGCUGAUUCUCAGUCUGUACAUUUUAAAAAAUAAGUAAAGUCAGUUUGCUCCUGUUUUGAGUAUUUUCUAUUGAUAAGAUGCAAUAAAGAGCACCAGGUUUAUCCCCUGUUCAUAAACCCUUUUUCAGGGCUGAGUAGGGCCCUCACAUAUGAGAUUGUAGCAAUUUAGGAUUUUAUGAACAUUAUAUUACUUUUCAACAGAUUUACAAACUUAAAGCAAUAUGACUCCUGAUUCUAAAAUACAGCAACAGAAUUGCAACCAGAAUUAUGAAUAAGUUAAAACAUUACAUGUAAUGAAAGCAUAGCCUGGCAAGAAAUGAAAUUGGAAAGUUUGUUCCUCAUAAAUUUCCAUAUCACUAUGGAAAAUAUCUUAUCUCUCUCCUAUGUCCACUCAAUUUUAUCUCUCACUGUCUCUCUGUUUUCAUGAAAUCUAUAGUCAUUUACAUGUCUGUCAAUUUACUGCUUAGGGACUGAUUCAGUAUUAGGGAAUGGACAAACAUGCAAAAAUAUCAUGGUCACAUAAAAUCAAUUUCCUUGAGAAAGAAUAAAAAUAAGACUAAGAAGACCCCUUCACUACUUAGUAAGCCUUGGGAUAAUUUAAUUUAUGCAAAUGUAUACAAAGUGCCAUGGAGGAUAUAAAUUUUACUGAACAUUAAUUGGAAGUGAUCUAUGGUACCACACAGAGGUAUGAGUGAGCAGGCCAUUUCCAGUUUGCAUUUAUGUGUGUGAAAUGUGUGUGCACACAGCCCUGGCAGUGAUUACCAGUGCUGAAAGCAAUCACACGCUGCAGCUGACAAGUCAAAGAUCAAGUAGAAGUUUUUUUGUAAAAUGGGGAAAAUCCUGCUUUGAAUAACCAAUGACUUGACCUUUGUCAGCUGUUAGUCUAGUUGGUAGCAAUUAUCCAAAGGAGAUUAAAUUAUCAGUCUCAAGGCAAGGUACUUUGCAUUUUGAACAAGACCUGGGAUUAAACACAGAUACUUUCUGAAUGCCAAGGGAGUUUCCAGCAGGAUAACGAUUUCAGAGGAAAAGCACACUACUUGCUUUGAAGUAAGUGAUCAGGCCGUGCUCUGAAAGUCUGCAGGAUGUGACGUGGACUAUGAUAACUCAUCCAGGAGAAUGAGCAGUGACCUGCCACAGAGGAGGCACGUAUGAGGAGGACUCAGUAAAUACAGGAAUCUGAGCCUGGAGCCUCCCCCAUCUCUGGGCUCCAUGGCAAUUGCUGCCACCCCUCUGCUCCCCUGCAGUUGCUGUAGGUAAUACCAGGCACAAGCUCAAUGCAAGAUCAUCUUCCUGUCUCUGGGGACCUGGUAACCCAUGCUGUGAGGAACAAUUGAUGUGAAACAGCUUACAACACCUUGCUAUGAACUGGCUCUUGGUCAUCUCCAGCAGCAUUAACUUUCCAAGUGUUAUUAUUAUCACAGAAGCUAUUUCAGAAUUUUUUUUUUUUUAACUCACAACAUUUUUCGCUUGCUGGUCAUCUCUUUAUCUACUAUUUCCUAGUUAAACUUUAAUACAUUGUGCUGAUUUAGUGUAUUUCUUUAAUAUCAAAUUAGUAUUAAAAUUUCCCUUUUCAGCAGCAAUUUGCAGUUAAAUGCACUUUUGCUUUAUAUAUAGCCUUCUUCAGAACUGUUGGUGCUAAGUUAUAUACUGCUCCACUUAAAGGAAUUUUUAAUGUGAGAUUUAGUAAAAUUACUUCUUAGAUUUACCUUGAUUUACAACUGCUUUCAUACAAAUCUGUCCCAAAAGAGUGAACUUGAUUCCUAUGCUUUGUUCCUUCAUUUACGAUCUUCAUCCUUUUUCUUCUUUCCUUGUUUUUCAUUUCUCCCAUACUAUGGAGAAUUAAGUAACUUGGAUACUUAGUUAUUACUGACAGGACUGAAGUUUAAGUAGUGACUGACUUUCAGUAGUUCAAGAAGCAGAAUUAGGUACAGGUUUCAUCCUGAUGAACAAGCUUUUGCCAGGCGUUAAUGUCUGACACUGACAGCAGCUGAACAUUCUUAACAUAGGGGAAAAAUCAACCUCUGUAUGGCACUGAUGUGCAGGGCCUGGUUCAUUAAACUGCCACCUCAAGCUAAUGUCAUAAAGAGCAGAUGGGAGUUAGAUGUUGGUUUUGUUGCUCUCCCUAGAAACCUCCCUCAGGGAGAGUUCACUUACCUCAGUCUCUUGGAAAAAAAUGAACAGGUUGGAAAAUGGAGCUUUCUCUGACUGCAAUGGAGACAGCAAGGUGAUUGAGAUGAGCUGAGUGGGAAUAGGUGUCACACCCAAGCACAGAACCAGUGAAAAAAGGGAUUUUGUGUCCUUGCAGAGAUUCUGGCUGAAAGUUGUGUAGAGGCUGAUCUGCUGUCUCAAGUCAGACAUUCUCCUCUCUGUUUUCCCCUUCAGCCUUUCCUCAAAAAAGAAAAUGGAAGGAAAUAUCCUGGAGUUCAAAUAGUGGGGCAGCUACAUGUCAUGUACAUAAGACACAUUUUGUACAAAUACAGCCAUAAUUGUAUUUUUCUAGAGAAUAAAUAGAAGCUGUUUGUGGGUGUGUGUGUGAUAAGAACAUGCAAGGGCUGCAUUAUACAGGCAACUAACAGGCUGUAUCCUGAAAAGCUGAAACUCUUCUUUGGCAUUAAGAAUGUAACUUUGACCAGAUGUUGAUGGUAAUUGAGUUGAAAGAGCAUGAUGGAAAUUGCCCAGUGGGAAACAAUUUAGCUUUUAAAAUGUCAUAACUUAAACCUUGAUUUACUGUAUUACAAAGAAGUGGGCAUGACUUGUAUUUGAUACAUCCUAUUUUUUAUUAGUACUUUGCAAAGUGAACUUCUUAAGGUGCCUGUGGCAUGUGUGUGGGGUGUAUUCCAGCUCUGGGCUUCCUCAGUCCUAACUUUUGCUGCUCAUAGGAGCACAGGACAGUUUUAAAAAGGUUUGUCAGGGUCUUCCCAGUUGAGCCUAUGCUGUUACAUAGCAGUUUAACUCCUCCCAAUCAUUACUCAAAAGGUUUAAGUUAAAAAUUUUACUGGGGAAGCAAAUAUUGAAGAUUUUACAUAAAAGCUGCAUGCACAAAUUGAUUCUUGCUCACGCCUGUGUGUAUGUAAUACGUUACACUCAACCACAUGGAGCAGGGAACUAUUAUUAUGACCACACUUGUGAAAAUAUUUGAAUUUAGCUUACUUUAGGUAAACACUCUGGCCUUAACUCCACAGUGAAUGGUAACAUGUAUAGCACAGCAGUCCUGUUCUCAGGACAAAUGCCUGAAGGAGCUUUCAGUGUUUCCAUUCCAUCCCUCAAGCAGGGGGUCACAUCUUGGCCUUAAAAUUUUUCUCUAAAAUAUUAUCUCCAAAGAAAAUGAUAUGAAAACCUGCAUGUUUAAAGGGGUAACACCCUAGUAAUUCUGUGUAGGGGAGAGUUAGCACAUGCCUCCCACACUCACCCUUGGCUGAUUGGGUGGCUGGCGGCAGGGCAGGCCCAUGGGCCACCAAGAACAAAUCCAGUGCUUGAGACCUGUUCCAUAUGGGUAAGGUUGAAAAUUGCAGAAAGCUGAGAAGCUUUGGAAAUCUAGCCACGAGAAGCAUGUUAAAAAUCCAGUACUAAUGCAAACCACAUGUCUGGGACUUCAUUUAGCUAUUUAGAAAACAGGAAUACUGUCCACUAUUUGCCUGCAAUGUUGGAUUUAUUCCCUCACCUUCCCCAUUUUAUUAAUUUGCACUCCCAGGAUGUUUUCUGCUCUGUUAUGGCCUAAUGAUUUAGCACCCAUAAUUCCUGAAGCUUUUGCAUUGCUUGUGUUUGAAUCCCACCUUGAGAAGCCCACAGAUAAUAUUUCUGUACCUGACACUGAUUCACACGAAUCCACCUGACAACUGAGAAGUGAAAAGUGUCCAACUGACCCUUGCAUCUGACCCAGCCCUUCACGUCAAGGACCGAAGGCAACAGCAAGAUUAUUUUGGGACCAGGACAGGAUGUUAGCCUUAUGUGUCCUUCCCCAAGCACAAACCAACUUCAAAAGGGCUGUACUGAUGGAGAAGAACCUAUGGACAACCCUCUAGUGCAUGGCCCUUUGUGGCAACAGACAGGUACCAAAUACUUUCCUGGGUUCUGGGAAGCCAGGUCAGAGUCCCAUGCUUUGCUCACAUCUGGCACUUCACCACACCAUGGCUGAGCUCCUCUCCCUCCUUGGCAUAGCUGUGUUUAGCUGGAGACAUGGGCAUGAGAAGACUAAAUGGCUUAUGAGGAAUUAAAAAAAAAAAUCCAAAAGGAAAGUCACUAUUUAAGUAGAGAAGAUCGUAGAGAGAGAGAGAGAAAACAAUAUUAAAUAAUGAAUGUAUUUAUUAAUGAACUCAGACAGGCACCACUUGUGCAAAAGAAAUGUUAGCACACAGACUUUAUUUUCAUGUUCAUAGCAACUGAAAUUCUGGAAGCCUGAAUUUCAAACUACAAAUGAAGAAACCUGUUACAUGUAUUCUGAAGUAUUUCAAUGUCAUUGCAGAAUUAGUGCAGCAGUAGCAAUAACAAAGUAUUCAGUCACUACAGAAAGCAGAUCUUCUGAUAAUAAACAACGGCAUGGUGCUAAACACACUUCAGCAAACGCAGGGAUAAGCUUGGCAAGCUGCCUUACAAAGCUCUGGUUCUGCCAUGUGACAACGUUGCUCAGAGUAGAUGCAAAAAACAAAGGAGUCCCACAGUCACAUCCAUGUAACAAGUGACACACCUACCAAUAAGACUGAUCUUAAAAAGUUUUCAUGUUAAACUCGUCUGGAGGAAGCAGCUCAGCUGGUGGCCAGUAGCUCAAUCCCUUUGGAUCAAAGGACCAAAAAUGCAAUAGCUGGAGAGAUUUUGGAGCUAGUUAACUAGAAGGGGUGGGGGAAAAGCUAUGACAAAAGUGGCCAUUUCAGCGUUCCUUGAAUUACUGAAGCUAUCUAAACAAUAUAACAAAUCCUGUGCACAUGACAGUAGAAAAAUUACAGGAUGUUUGCCAACUCUCAACUAAAUGAGCUGGAAUGGUGUUUUAGGGAGAAACUGCUGGGUCAGAUAAAUGGCCCCAGCAUGUGUGGCCUGAAGGGAUAGAUGGAGACAACAUUAUAGAAAGCAUCAAAAAGCAGCUUGAGAUGACUUAUAAAACUUGUUGCUCAAAUAUCCACAUCCAUAUGGAAGCUUCACAAGCAAUCAGACAGUGCCACGUUUAGUAUCCAACACUGCAUGGGGACAAUUCCAGUGCACCUGCAGGGGAACCACAGUGACUCCAAUAAAGGCACAAUUAUGUAUUUUCUGAAUUUCUCUGAACAAAAUGGAGGGAAAACCUUGUUUAUUUUUCUUGUAAGGAAGCUACUAGGAAAACUAUAUCUUGAAACCAUACUUAUUUUCUUCCAAAACUCUCUGGCUAUUUCUUGGCUAGAUAGAUGAGUGUGUGCAAGACUAAGUUACAACACUGUUGUGUGUAUGAAUAGCAUUGAGUUGUAUUUUGUGGCACAAUUUAAUAGAAAAUAUAAGAAAUCUCUCUUCCCAGCAGCUCUGAGAGCUUGGAUCUGACUUUCUACUUAUCAUGUUUGUCAUGCCCCAGUGUAAUUUAAGCAUCCACGUCUAGGCUGCUAUGAGCUCUAUCGUCUAGUAAGGAUAAAAUAUUAAAUUGCUCUAGUUUUUACACUUCACAGCAAUCCCUGUAGUGCUGGAGGACCGUGCUAUGAAUAGCACUGAAUGCAGUCAACAGACAUUUCCGUGCUAGUCCAGGGAAGGCACAGACAAUUAAUUGUCCCCAGUUUGCCCUACUGUCCAUAAUUAUAGGUUUGAGUUUAUAAAUAACAAAGCAUGAUUUUAAGAACCAAAACAAACCCCUCAAUUACUACAGAGUUCCUGAGAUAAUUAAGUCUCCAAAUGUGGCUCUGUAGAAGGGAACCAAGGCUACACUGCAAAAGUCCAUAACAUGCAGAUGUGCGUAAGCACAGCAAAGUGACAGGAUGGAAAACGUCAUCAGGAAAAUAAACUCUCUCAUCAUUAUUUCACCGCUUUUUACCUAAAAAAACAAUGGCCUAUUGUCUCGAUUCACCCUAUUGUUCUGUCCCAUUUUUUGUUAUUGAAGGAACCAGCAGUCAGUCAGCGAGAGUUUCCUGAGGAGUAGCAGUUUGGAAAGUUCAAUGCAGCAUCCUGUGCCUAAGGCUUGUUUUGCUACAAGUUUUAGGAAAAACCAGGAAAGUAAAGUUACUGAGACAAAUUAAAGCACACGGUUUGUAAUUCAGCUUGUUUGAAUACCCCUUCAAAUGGAAAUACCCUCCACUUUUACAAGUGUGGUCAUUAAAACCUUCAAAA